Molecule: ribosomal RNA, 253 nt
Filed under: uncultured bacterium
Lineage: Bacteria
Description: partial 16S ribosomal RNA
Rfam family: Bacterial small subunit ribosomal RNA
Source: RNAcentral
UACGGGGGGGGCAAGCGUUGUUCGGAAUUACUGGGCGUAAAGGGUUCGUAGGUGGCUUGCUAAGUCAGACGUGAAAUCCCUCGGCUCAACCGGGGAACUGCGUCUGAGACUGGCGAGCUUGAGUGUGGAAGAGAGAAGUGGAAUUCUCGGAGUAGCGGUAAAAUGCGUAGAUCUCGAGAGGAACACCGAUGGCGAAGGCAGCUUCUUGGUCCACACCUGACGCUGAUGCACGAAAGCGUGGGGAGCAAACAGG